This 161-nucleotide ribosomal RNA is filed under the name Klebsiella pneumoniae. RNAcentral describes it as "partial 16S ribosomal RNA". It matches the Rfam family "Bacterial small subunit ribosomal RNA", at positions 1381 to 1533 of the family's 1533-position model. Lineage: Bacteria; Pseudomonadati; Pseudomonadota; Gammaproteobacteria; Enterobacterales; Enterobacteriaceae. The record is from RNAcentral.
UUGUACACACCGCCCGUCACACCAUGGGAGUGGGUUGCAAAAGAAGUAGGUAGCUUAACCUUCGGGAGGGCGCUUACCACUUUGUGAUUCAUGACUGGGUGAAGUCGUAACAAGGUAACCGUAGGGGAACCUGCGGUUGGAUCACCUCCUUACCUUAAAGA